RNAcentral lists this ribosomal RNA (357 nucleotides) under uncultured bacterium. Its description in RNAcentral is "bacterial SSU rRNA". It matches the Rfam family "Bacterial small subunit ribosomal RNA", at positions 29 to 414 of the family's 1533-position model. The record is from RNAcentral.
AACGAACGCUGGCGGCAUGCCUAACACAUGCAAGUCGAACGCCUGUAGCAAUACAGGAGUGGCGCACGGGUGAGUAACGCGUGGGAACCUGCCCUGGAGUGGGGGAUAACCGAGAGAAAUUUCGGCUAAUACCGCAUACGUCCUGAGGGAGAAAGAUUUAUCGCUCUAGGAGGGGCCCGCGUCGGAUUAGCUAGUUGGUGGGUAACGGCCUACCAAGGCAACGAUCCGUAGCUGGCUGAGAGGAUGAUCAGCCACACUGGGACUGAGACACGGCCCAGACUCCUACGGGAGGCAGCAGUGGGAAUAUUGGACAACGGGGGAAACCCUGAUCCAGCAAUGCCGCGUGAGUGAUGAAGG